RNAcentral lists this ribosomal RNA (253 nucleotides) under uncultured bacterium. Its description in RNAcentral is "partial 16S ribosomal RNA". It matches the Rfam family "Bacterial small subunit ribosomal RNA", at positions 524 to 776 of the family's 1533-position model. The record is from RNAcentral.
UACAGAGGUCCCAAGCGUUGUUCGGAUUCACUGGGCGUAAAGGGUGCGUAGGUGGCCAGGUAAGUUUGGUGUGAAAGCUCGGAGCUUAACUCCGAAAAGUCAUUGAAUACUAUCUGGCUGGAGGGUCGGAGGGGAGACUGGAAUUCUCGGUGUAGCAGUGAAAUGCGUAGAUAUCGAGAGGAACACCAGUGGCGAAGGCGAGUCUCUGGACGACUCCUGACACUGAGACACGAAAGCCAGGGGAGCGAACGGG